AUUGAACGCUGGCGGCAGGCCUAACACAUGCAAGUCGAGCGAGCGGCGGACGGGUGAGUACUGUAUGGGGAUCUGACCGAUAGAGGGAGAUAACUACUGGAAACGGUGGCUCAUAGCGCAUACUAUCGGAUGAACCCAGAUGGGAUUAGAUAGUAGGUGGGGUAACGGCUAACCUAGGGGACGAUCUCUCGCUGGUCUGAGAGGAUGAUCAUCCAAUCUGGGACUGAGACACGCACCAGACUCCUACGGGAGGCAGCAGUGGGGAAUCUUGCACAAUGGGCGCAAGCCUGAUGCAGCCAUGCCGCGUGUAUGAAGAAGGCCUUAGGGUUGUAAAGUACUUUCAGCGGGGAGGCGUUACCCGCAGAAGAAGCACCGGCUAACUCCGUGCCAGCAGCCGCGGUAAUUC
RNAcentral lists this ribosomal RNA (406 nucleotides) under uncultured bacterium. RNAcentral's name for it is "partial 16S ribosomal RNA". It matches the Rfam family "Bacterial small subunit ribosomal RNA", at positions 30 to 526 of the family's 1533-position model. The record is from RNAcentral.